CCGUGGAGGGUGGCGGCUGUGCCUAGAUGGCAUCGACUGUGCCAUUGGCUGCUCUAUCGGUGGCUGCUGUUGCUGCUGAGUUUGCUGUUGUCAGAGGCUUCUGACAGCCUCCAUCAGAACAUUCAUCUACUAUAUGAGUGCAGCGAUUUGAGCAUCCGUGGUGACCACGAGAUGCGAAGAGCUGGGCUCUACUACCAGAGGUGGGAGAGGAGCAUCUUCCUGAAGGGAAGAGUGCCUUGCAGAUCUAAUCG
Molecule: long non-coding RNA, 251 nt
Filed under: Elaeis guineensis (African oil palm)
Lineage: Eukaryota; Viridiplantae; Streptophyta; Magnoliopsida; Arecales; Arecaceae
Description: long non-coding RNA (EGUI_LNC061339)
Source: RNAcentral